GACAGAGGGGGCAAGCGUUGCUCGGAAUCACUGGGCGUAAAGGGCGCGUAGGCGGGUUGGCAAGUCAGUCGUGAAAUCUCUCGGCUCAACCGAGAAACGUCGGCUGAUACUGCCGUUCUUGAGGGAUGCAGAGGAGACUGGAAUUCCCGGUGUAGCGGUGAAAUGUGUAGAGAUCGGGAGGAACACCGGUGGCGAAGGCGGGUCUCUGGGCAUUUCCUGACGCUGAGGCGCGAAAGCGUGGGGAGCAAACGGG
This 253-nucleotide ribosomal RNA is filed under the name uncultured bacterium. RNAcentral's name for it is "partial 16S ribosomal RNA". It matches the Rfam family "Bacterial small subunit ribosomal RNA", at positions 524 to 776 of the family's 1533-position model. The record is from RNAcentral.